This 141-nucleotide ribosomal RNA is filed under the name uncultured bacterium. Its description in RNAcentral is "partial 16S rRNA". It matches the Rfam family "Bacterial small subunit ribosomal RNA", at positions 355 to 511 of the family's 1533-position model. The record is from RNAcentral.
UGAGGAAUUUUCCGCAAUGGGCGAAAGCCUGACGGAGCAAUGCCGCGUGGAGGUGGAAGGCCUACGGGUCGUCAACUUCUUUUCUCGGAGAAGAAACAAUGACGGUAUCUGAGGAAUAAGCAUCGGCUAACUCUGUGCCCG